Long non-coding RNA from Bombus pascuorum, 488 nucleotides. RefSeq lists it as uncharacterized. The record is from RefSeq and is a predicted model, not a curated record. The transcript has 2 exons. NCBI's taxonomy places the organism in Eukaryota, Metazoa, Arthropoda, Insecta, Hymenoptera, Apidae.
ACUCGGGGCGUCUUCAUACAGAAUAGUUCUUGCUUGCGGAUCAAUGGGUUUCAUUAUGUUCAUAUUGAUAGAACCAUCAGGUUCGAGGGGUCUCCAAUUUGAUAAAUAGUCCAUGAGAAUCGAUUGAUCAUCGUGAUCGCCGCAAAUAUAUGUAAAAUUUAAUUUUGAAGAUAAUAGCAAAAAUUGAGCGACUAAUAGUAAUUUUUACUUUUUACAACGUAACUAUUUAUUUAAACAAUUAAAAAGAAUAUACAAUUAAUUUUGCGCGAUAAUUAAAUUUGGGAGAUUGAAGAUUACUGUAAACACAAGAUAUAUGUACGUACAAAUUCGUUAAACACCGGAUAUCACAUGAACACAUACUAAUAAUAAUAAAUAAUGUAAAAUGCUUAUUCAUUCGGUACAUUAGUAUUUUAUACAUACAACGUGUAUAUGUAUAAUAUGUUUAUGUGAAUAGAUUAAUGUACCUACUAAAUUGUAUUGUAAAUUUU